AUCGGGGGGCAGUGACUGCAGGUAGAGGUGGCUGAAGGGGUGUGUACAGGGUACAGGUGUAAGGGGGUGACGGGGGGAUCGGGGGGCAGUGACUGCAGGCAGAGGUGGCUGAAGGGGUGUGUACAGGGUACAGGUGUAAGGGGGUGACGGGGGGAUCGGGGGGCAGUGACUGCAGGCAGAGGUGGCUGAAGGGGUGUGUACAGGGUACAGGUGUAAGGGGGUGACGGGGGAUCGGGG
This is a long non-coding RNA of Gopherus flavomarginatus (Mexican gopher tortoise), 237 nucleotides long. RefSeq lists it as uncharacterized. Lineage: Eukaryota; Metazoa; Chordata; Testudines; Testudinidae. The transcript is spliced from 3 exons. The record is from RefSeq and is a predicted model, not a curated record.